AGAGUUUGAUCCUGGCUCAGGACGAACGCUGGCGGCGCGCCUAACACAUGCAAGUCGAACGAGAGAUGAGGAGCUUGCUCUUCAAAUCGAGUGGCGAACGGGUGAGUAACGCGUGAGGAACCUGCCUCAAAGAGGGGGACAACAAUUGGAAACGACUGCUAAUACCGCAUAAGUCCACAGCUCGGCAUCGAGCAGAGGGGAAAGGAGCAAUCCGCUUUGAGAUGGCCUCGCGUCCGAUUAGCUAGUUGGUGAGGUAACGGCCCACCAAGGCGACGAUCGGUAGCCGGACUGAGAGGUUGAACGGCCACAUUGGGACUGAGACACGGCCCAGACUCCUACGGGAGGCAGCAGUGGGGAAUAUUGCACAAUGGGGGAAACCCUGAUGCAGCGACGCCGCGUGGAGGAAGAAGGUCUUCGGAUUGUAAACUCCUGUUGUUGGGGAAGAUAAUGACGGUACCCAACAAGGAAGUGACGGCUAACUACGUGCCAGCAGCCGCGGUAAAACGUAGGUCACAAGCGUUGUCCGGAAUUACUGGGUGUAAAGGGAGCGCAGGCGGGAAGACAAGUUGGAAGUGAAAUCUAUGGGCUCAACCCAUAAACUGCUUUCAAAACUGUUUUUCUUGAGUAGUGCAGAGGUAGGCGGAAUUCCCGGUGUAGCGGUGGAAUGCGUAGAUAUCGGGAGGAACACCAGUGGCGAAGGCGGCCUACUGGGCACCAACUGACGCUGAGGCUCGAAAGUGUGGGUAGCAAACAGGAUUAGAUACCCUGGUAGUCCACACCGUAAACGAUGAUUACUAGGUGUUGGAGGAUUGACCCCUUCAGUGCCGCAGUUAACACAAUAAGUAAUCCACCUGGGGAGUACGACCGCAAGGUUGAAACUCAAAGGAAUUGACGGGGGCCCGCACAAGCAGUGGAGUAUGUGGUUUAAUUCGACGCAACGCGAAGAACCUUACCAAGUCUUGACAUCCCUUGACAGGCAUAGAAAUAUGUUUUCUCUUCGGAGCAAGGAGACAGGUGGUGCAUGGUUGUCGUCAGCUCGUGUCGUGAGAUGUUGGGUUAAGUCCCGCAACGAGCGCAACCCUUAUGGUCAGUUACUACGCAAGAGGACUCUGGCCAGACUGCCGUUGACAAAACGGAGGAAGGUGGGGAUGACGUCAAAUCAUCAUGCCCUUUAUGACUUGGGCUACACACGUACUACAAUGGCGUUAAACAAAGAGAAGCAAGACCGCGAGGUGGAGCAAAACUCAGAAACAACGUCCCAGUUCGGACUGCAGGCUGCAACUCGCCUGCACGAAGUCGGAAUUGCUAGUAAUCGUGGAUCAGCAUGCCACGGUGAAUACGUUCCCGGGCCUUGCACACACCGCCCGUCA
Molecule: ribosomal RNA, 1370 nt
Filed under: uncultured bacterium
Lineage: Bacteria
Description: bacterial SSU rRNA
Rfam family: Bacterial small subunit ribosomal RNA
Source: RNAcentral